AUGGAAACCGCUCAGGAGCAGGGAGCUGGGAGCUAUGAGUGCUGACUGCGUGAACUCGGCCUCCACUUCCCGGACCUGCCACUUAUCAUGAUCCACGAGCUGUACUCAUGACUCCGCACAAGCAAGCAGGGGCUGACGGUCGGAUCCCUCGCCCCCAUUUUACGGACAGAAGUACCGAGGCUCAAAGAGAGCCAGUGAGAUGCUGAAAUCACGCGUGAUUGGAAUCCAGCCUUGCUAGGGCUGCGGGUGUUACGGGCCGUGGGCGGCGGUUAAGAGCGCUAGUCAAGUGAAGCAAUGGGAAUGGAGAAGAAACAAAUCUAUAACUGGUUGUGAUGAAUUAGUCGUAAGCACCACUGCAAUUGGACCAGUCAAUACCAUGGUUAUCACAGGAGUGUGGCUGAGGCUGUGUUUGGCCCUGGGUGCCAGGUCUGCACCCUGCACUAAGGAUGGGUGAGGAACGACAGGCAGUCGAGCUGGUUGGUGCUACAGGCAAUGUACAGUAAGCCAUGAUGGGCAGAGGCAGGAAAUACUUAGAGAACUGGAAAGAAUAAAGGAGCCGGUGU
Molecule: long non-coding RNA, 563 nt
Filed under: Homo sapiens (human)
Lineage: Eukaryota; Metazoa; Chordata; Mammalia; Primates; Hominidae
Description: non-protein coding lnc-RNF114-2:4
Source: RNAcentral